UACGUAGGGUGCAAGCGUUGUCCGGAAUUAUUGGGCGUAAAGAGCUCGUAGGCGGUCUGUCGCGUCGGCUGUGAAAUCCCGAGGCUCAACCUCGGGUCUGCAGUCGAUACGGGCAAACUGGAGUGUUGCAGGGGAGACUGGAAUUCCUGGUGUAGCGGUGAAAUGCGCAGAUAUCAGGAGGAACACCAGUGGCGAAGGCGCCGCUCUGGGCCGAGACUGACGUUGAGGAGCGAAAGCGUGGGUAGCAAACAGG
This 253-nucleotide ribosomal RNA is filed under the name uncultured bacterium. Its description in RNAcentral is "partial 16S ribosomal RNA". It matches the Rfam family "Bacterial small subunit ribosomal RNA", at positions 524 to 776 of the family's 1533-position model. The record is from RNAcentral.